RNAcentral lists this small RNA (535 nucleotides) under Pan troglodytes (chimpanzee). Its description in RNAcentral is "processed transcript". The record is from RNAcentral. Lineage: Eukaryota; Metazoa; Chordata; Mammalia; Primates; Hominidae.
AUAAUGACAUGAUAGCUAAUCCAUACCCCUGCAUGAUUUUAUCUUCCACGGAAGGAGGCUGGCAAGUUUAAAGGGGACACCCUCAAAGAUCAGCCAGGGGAAACCACUUCUGGUUUCUCAGCUACCAGGAGGCAACCUGAACGUGUCAGGGCCUGGGCACGACACUUGCCUUUCUUGGAGGAGUGAUUUGAAGCCAUAGUGGAAGACUGAGCCUCUAUAAAAAAUGAACGAGGACACUCUUAAUGGACAGAUACAAAACAAGCCCCAGGAGAAAGGUGUAUCAACCAUUUUAAAUCUGCCCUCAAAAGCACAGAACAAAUCAGACGGCAUUUUGCUCACAGAGGAGAGGGUCUAUGAGAACCAAAUUCCAGCUUCAGCACAUGGCCUUGGGUACAGCUACAAGAUGGAGGAAGCUAUUUGACCUGCCUCAGACUUUACGUGAACAAAAGGGUGUUGUUAUGUCCAAAGCCAUCUUGCCAUGAGCAGCCUGAGAAUGGAGCCAAUGACUGAGGGUGGCAGAGCAGAAAGAUGGUAA